Molecule: ribosomal RNA, 585 nt
Filed under: uncultured type II methanotroph R19
Lineage: Bacteria; Pseudomonadati; Pseudomonadota; Alphaproteobacteria; Hyphomicrobiales; Methylocystaceae
Description: bacterial SSU rRNA
Rfam family: Bacterial small subunit ribosomal RNA
Source: RNAcentral
UGGACAAUGGGCGCAAGCCUGAUCCAGCCAUGCCGCGUGAGUGAUGAAGGCCCUAGGGUUGUAAAGCUCUUUCGCCAGGGACGAUAAUGACGGUACCUGGAUAAGAAGCCCCGGCUAACUUCGUGCCAGCAGCCGCGGUAAUACGAAGGGGGCUAGCGUUGUUCGGAAUCACUGGGCGUAAAGCGCACGUAGGCGGAUUGUUAAGUCAGGGGUGAAAUCCCGAGGCUCAACCUCGGAACUGCCUUUGAUACUGGCGAUCUAGAGUCCGGGAGAGGUGAGUGGAACUGCGAGUGUAGAGGUGAAAUUCGUAGAUAUUCGCAAGAACACCAGUGGCGAAGGCGGCUCACUGGCCCGGAACUGACGCUGAGGUGCGAAAGCGUGGGGAGCAAACAGGAUUAGAUCCCUGGUAGUCCACGCCGUAAACGAUGGAUGCUAGCCGUGGGGAGCUUGUCUUAGUGGCGCACUACGCUUAACAUCCGCUGGGGAGUCCGUCGCAAGAUUAAACUAAGGAAUGACGGGGCCGACAACGGGGACAUUGGUUAAUUCAACACCCAGACUACAGUUUGGUGCCGUUAAGGCAUCACC